GGGCAAGAGUCUCAGGGUCACCGCGAGAUUCCAGCCUUGUGAUCUCGGACAGCUUCCCUAGUCUGAACUGGAAUGCGGACUCUUUGUCUGUAAAUGGUUAACAGGUCUACAGCCCCCGAGGGCCGCUUCCUGCCUCUCGCAGUGUGGCUGGGAGCAGAGGGCGCAGCCUGGGGUUCUGCCCCAUCCACUCACCACUUCACAGGCACCGCAGUCCCACUGGGACAGGAGCUUCGUGUGCAAAACUCCUUGCCAAGCCUCCAGCCUCUUCUCACUCACUCAUCGCCUCAGGCCCAGCUGCCCGGAUCUUCAGAACUGCCCGGAGUCUGCCUAAACAGGGUGGAACAGAAGAGAACAGGAUGGAGCAGCAGAGGCCAGGUCAGAAGAGACCGGGACAGAGUGGGCUAGGACUAAGACCGGGACAAAUGAGUCUGGCCGGAGCAGAGCACAGCAGAACCCCAGGGCCGGAGCAGGUGGCGCUGCGCAGGAGGAAAUAAAACCCACCCCACUCAUCAACAAAUAUUUCCCAAGCACCACUCUACGCAAGGUAAGGAAAAGUGAGAUGCGGCCCCUGCCCUCGUGGAGCUUACUGUCUUGUGUAACAGACGUACAAGACA
RNAcentral lists this long non-coding RNA (614 nucleotides) under Chinchilla lanigera (long-tailed chinchilla). RNAcentral's name for it is "lncRNA (ENSCLAG00000027863.1)". The record is from RNAcentral. Lineage: Eukaryota; Metazoa; Chordata; Mammalia; Rodentia; Chinchillidae.